RNAcentral lists this transfer RNA (67 nucleotides) under Mecistocephalus marmoratus. RNAcentral describes it as "tRNA-Ile". The record is from RNAcentral. Lineage: Eukaryota; Metazoa; Arthropoda; Chilopoda; Geophilomorpha; Mecistocephalidae.
AAUUAAAUGCCUGACAAAAGGAGUGCUCCGAUACUGCAUAUAUACACAUAUCCACGUGUUUUAAUAU